CAAUAUAUUUCGCUACGUGGUCCAGAGGGUACCACUCGGAGGACCUCGGGUGCUGUAAGGUAUCCGGGUCGAACAAAGGUUCGCCCUGCGGGUCAACCAAAGCUGAGUCGUCAGGUCCGUCCUUAUGGUCCAUGUCCGUGCCCGUGGCGGAGCUAUAGUCCCGCAAGUGAGUCUCAGUAGAGUCCUCAUUAUAAUCAUCAGAGUCCUCCUCUUCGGACUUGCUCUGAGCCUCCUCUAGC
This is a non-coding RNA of Pelobates cultripes (western spadefoot toad), 239 nucleotides long. The record is from the annotation of a GenBank genome assembly. Lineage: Eukaryota; Metazoa; Chordata; Amphibia; Anura; Pelobatidae.